Molecule: transfer-messenger RNA, 355 nt
Filed under: Methylobacterium planeticum
Lineage: Bacteria; Pseudomonadati; Pseudomonadota; Alphaproteobacteria; Hyphomicrobiales; Methylobacteriaceae
Description: Alphaproteobacteria transfer-messenger RNA
Rfam family: Alphaproteobacteria transfer-messenger RNA
About the family: Bacterial tmRNA, also known as 10Sa RNA or SsrA, is named for its dual tRNA and mRNA-like properties. Its role is to liberate the mRNA from a stalled ribosome.
Source: Rfam by way of RNAcentral
CCGGUUGAUUUCUACGGCGCGCCCGACCAUAUUCCCCAUGCGGUUGAUGACCGGUUCGUAAUAACGUUUCAGGACCCGGGGGCGGUACCCGGCGCCUCCACCAUAAGCGCAUCGUGAUGCGCUUCUGAUGGGGGCGAAACAGGAUCGACUGGGCGGUAAAGGGAUCGCGAGUCCUAUCUCGUUUCGGCGAGAGACGGUGCGACUGUCGGUAAGGUUUCGACCGGUUUGGCGUAGGCGACCCUAUUCCAGGCAUCUGACCAAAACUCUAAAUGCCAACGAUAACGUUGUCAUGGAUGCCCGCCUCGCGGCGUAAGCAUCUUGCGGUAGGGUAACCGUAGAAACAGAACCCGGAGCU